Molecule: ribosomal RNA, 394 nt
Filed under: uncultured bacterium
Lineage: Bacteria
Description: partial 16S ribosomal RNA
Rfam family: Bacterial small subunit ribosomal RNA
Source: RNAcentral
AUACGUAGGGGGCUAGCGUUAUCCGGAAUUACUGGGCGUAAAGGGUGCGUAGGUGGUUUCUUAAGUCAGAAGUGAAAGGCUACGGCUCAACCGUAGUAAGCUUUUGAAACUAAGAGACUUGAGUGCAGGAGAGGAGAGUAGAAUUCCUAGUGUAGCGGUGAAAUGCGUAGAUAUUAGGAGGAAUACCAGUUGCGAAGGCGGCUCUAUGGACUGUAACUGACACUGAGGCACGAAAGCGUGGGGAGCAAACAGGAUUAGAUACCCUGGUAGUCCACGCCGUAAACGAUGAGUACUAGCUGUCGGGGGUUACCCCCCUCGGUGGCGCAGCUAACGCAUUAAGUACUCCGCCUGGGAAGUACGCUCGCAAGAGUGAAACUCAAAUGAAUUGACGGGG